Catharus ustulatus (Swainson's thrush) is the source of this 579-nucleotide long non-coding RNA. RefSeq lists it as uncharacterized. The transcript has 3 exons. Lineage: Eukaryota; Metazoa; Chordata; Aves; Passeriformes; Turdidae. The record is from RefSeq and is a predicted model, not a curated record.
CCCCCCCCCGGGCUGGGGCUGCCCCCCCCGUGGGCGGCCUGGCUGGGGGCGGAGCUGGGGGCGCUGGAGGAGACCCUGAGGGGGCUCAAGGAAAUGGAGGACCAGCACUGGCAGCUCUUCCUGGCCAAGCGCGGCCUCUUCACCUGAGCCCAGGAAAAUUCGCGACCCCCCCCCAAAAUUCGGAGCUGCAGUUCCUGGAGUUGCCGCCGGGGGGCGCCAAGCGCCGAGCCGGGUUUAUUGUGGGGAGGGGUCCCCAGCGCCCCCCCCCCGCCCUUUUUUAUUGUGGGGAGGGGUCCGUGCAGCCCCUCCCUGUUUUAUUUUGGGGAGGGGUCCCCACUGUGCCCCCCCCCCGCGCUGUUUGUUCUGUUUUUAUAAAUUUGCUGCGAUUUUUUACGAGUUUAUACACGGGGGGGGGGGAGAGACCCCUCCCCAUUUUACCGCUGGGGGUGGGGGGGGUGUUGUACAUAAAUUGGGGAGGGGGCGUGAGGAAAAGUUCCCCCCCCCCACCCCGCGCCCUCCGGUUUGGGUGGAAAACCAAAGAAUUUGGGAAAAUUCCGAAUAAAGUCGAUGUCGCUUCUG